Molecule: ribosomal RNA, 497 nt
Filed under: uncultured bacterium
Lineage: Bacteria
Description: partial 16S ribosomal RNA
Rfam family: Bacterial small subunit ribosomal RNA
Source: RNAcentral
GAUGAACGCUGGCGGCGUGCCUAAUACAUGCCAGUCGAGCGAACAGACGAGGAGCUUGCUCCUCUGACGUUAGCGGCGGACGGGUGAGUAACACGUGGAUAACCUACCUAUAAGACUGGGAUAACUUCGGGAAACCGGAGCUAAUACCGGAUAAUAUAUUGAACCGCAUGGUUCAAUAGUGAAAGACGGUUUUGCUGUCACUUAUAGAUGGAUCCGCGCCGCAUUAGCUAGUUGGUAAGGUAACGGCUUACCAAGGCGACGAUGCGUAGCCGACCUGAGAGGGUGAUCGGCCACACUGGAACUGAGACACGGUCCAGACUCCUACGGUAGGCAGCAGUAGGGAAUCUUCCGCAAUGGGCGAAAGCCUGACGGAGCAACGCCGCGUGAGUGAUGAAGGUCUUCGGAUCGUAAAACUCUGUUAUUAGGGAAGAACAAAUGUGUAAGUAACUAUGCACGUCUUGACGGUACCUAAUCAGAAAGCCACGGCUAACUACGUG